AUUGAACGCUGGCGGCAUGCUUUACACAUGCAAGUCGAACGGUAACAGGGUGCUUGCACCGCUGACGAGUAGCGAACGGGUGAGUAAUGCGUCGGAACGUGCCGAGUAGUGGGGGAUAACGCAGCGAAAGUUGUGCUAAUACCGCAUACGUACUGAGGUAGAAAGUGGGGGACCUUCGGGCCUCACGCUAUUCGAGCGGCCGACGUCUGCUUCGAUAGUAGGUGAGGUAAAGGCUCACCUAGGCGACGAUCAGUAGCGGGUAGGAGAGGAUGUCCCGCCACACGAGAACUGAGAAACGGCCCAGACUCCUACGGGAGGAAGCAGUGGGUCAUUUUGGACAUUGGGCGAGAGCCUGAGCCAGCCAUGCCGCGUGUCUGAAGAAGGCCUUCGGGUUGUAAAGGACUUUUGUCAGGGAGGAAGUCCCUAGUGCUAAUAACACUGGGGGAUGACAGUACCUAAAGAAUAAGCACCGGCUAACUACGUGCCAGAAGCCGCCGUAA
This 500-nucleotide ribosomal RNA is filed under the name uncultured bacterium. RNAcentral describes it as "partial 16S ribosomal RNA". It matches the Rfam family "Bacterial small subunit ribosomal RNA", at positions 30 to 523 of the family's 1533-position model. The record is from RNAcentral.